ACGGGGAAGGAACCAACAGGGGGAUUGCCUCAGCUAACGGCGAGUGAAGCGGCAACAGACUCAAAUUUGAAAUCUGGCUCCUUCGGGGCCCGAGUUGUAAUUUGCAGAGGAUGCGUCGGGUACGGGUGCCUUCCGAGUUCCCUGGAACGGGACGCCAUAGAGGGUGAGAGCCCCGUCUGGUAGGACACCCAGCCCGUGUGACGCUCCCUCGACGAGUCGAGUAGUUUGGGAAUGCUGCUCUAACGGGAGGUAUACUCCUUCCAAGGCUAAAUACCGGCUGGAGACCGAUAGCGCACAAGUAGAGUGAUCGAAAGAUGAAAAGCACUUUGAAAAGAGAGUCAAACAGCACGUGAAAUUGUUAAAAGGGAAGCGCUCGCUACCAGACUUGGGUUCGGCGGUUCAACCGGGGCCACGCCCCGGGGCAUUCCGCCGGCCCAGGCCAGCAUCAGCUUUCCGUCGGGGGUAAAGGCGUCGGGAAUGUGGCUCCCCUUCGGGGGAGUGUUAUAGCCCGUCGUGUCAUACCCUUCGGGGGGCUGAGGUACGCGCUUCUGCAAGGAUGCUGGCGUAAUGGUAGCUAGUGACCCGUCUUGAAACACGGACCAAGGAGUCAACCUUAUGUGCGAGUGCCCGGGCGUAAAACCCCAGCGCGGAAUGAAAGUGAACGUAGGUGAGAGCUUCGGCGCAUCACCGACCGAUCCUGAUGUCCUCGGACGGAUUUGAGUGAGAGCAUAUAGGGUUGGACCCGAAAGAAGAUGAACUAUGCGUGUGUAGGGUGAAGCCAGAGGAAACUCUGGUGGAGGCUCGCAGCGGUUCUGACGUGCAAAUCGAUCGUCAAACAUGCGCAUGGGGGCGAAAGACUAAUCGAAUCUUCUGGUAGCUGGUUUCCGCCGAAGUUUCCCUCAGGAUAGCAGUGUUGAUCCCAGUUUUAUGAGGUAAAGCGAAUGAUUAGGGACUCGGGGGCGCUAUAUUGCCUUCAUCCAUUCUCAAACUUUAAAUAUGUAAGAAGUCCCCGUUUCUUAACUGAACGCGGACGCUGGAAUGUCCAACACUAGUGGGCCAUUUUUGGUAAGCAGAACUGGCCAUGCGGAUAAACCAAAGCAGGGUAAGGGGCCGGAGUGGACCCCAUCAAAACCCAAAAGGGUUAAUAAUUUUGAACCCGGACGGGGCCUGGAAUCGAAAUCGCUAAGAAUGGUAAAACCCCCUGCCAAGGUAAACCCUAAAAGGGGGGGCAAGCCCCCCCCCCCCCCCCCCCUUUCCGCCCCCAAAAUAAGGAAGGAGGGGUACAAACCCGGGGGCCCGGGGGAGCCUGGAAUGUGGGGAAAAAGGAGGAAAAGAUAAAGCGGGGAAUGGAAAGAAAA
RNAcentral lists this ribosomal RNA (1358 nucleotides) under Plectosphaerella sp. RNAcentral describes it as "partial large subunit ribosomal RNA". It matches the Rfam family "Eukaryotic large subunit ribosomal RNA", at positions 53 to 1403 of the family's 3401-position model. Lineage: Eukaryota; Fungi; Ascomycota; Sordariomycetes; Glomerellales; Plectosphaerellaceae. The record is from RNAcentral.